AGCGAACGCUGGCGGCAGGCCCAACACAUGCAAGUCGAGCGCCCCGCAAGGGGAGCGGCAGACGGGAGAGUAACACGUGGGAACGUACCCUUCAGUUCGGAACAACCCAGGGAAACUUGGGCUAAUACCGAAUACGUCCGUAAGGAGAAAGAUUUAUCGCUGAAGGAUCGGCCCGCGUCCGAUUAGCUAGUUGGUGAGGUAACGGCUCACCAAGGCGACGAUCGGUAGCUGGUCUGAGAGGAUGAUCAGCCUCACUGGGACUGAGACACGGCCCAGACUCCUACGGGAGGCAGCAGUGGGGAAUAUUGGACAAUGGGCGCAAGCUUGAUCCAGCCAUGCCGCGUGGAUGAUGAGGGCCCUAGGGUUGUAAAGUCCUUUCGGCGGGGAAGAUAAUGACGGUACCCGCAGAAGAAGCCCCGGCUAACUUCGUGCCAGCCGCCGCCGUAA
Molecule: ribosomal RNA, 447 nt
Filed under: uncultured bacterium
Lineage: Bacteria
Description: partial 16S ribosomal RNA
Rfam family: Bacterial small subunit ribosomal RNA
Source: RNAcentral